This 255-nucleotide ribosomal RNA is filed under the name uncultured bacterium. Its description in RNAcentral is "partial 16S ribosomal RNA". It matches the Rfam family "Bacterial small subunit ribosomal RNA", at positions 524 to 776 of the family's 1533-position model. The record is from RNAcentral.
UACGGAGGGUGCAAGCGUUAUCCGGAUUCACUGGGUUUAAAGGGUGCGUAGGCGGGUAGGUAAGUCAGUGGUGAAAUCUUCGAGCUUAACUCGGAAACUGCCUUUGAUACUAUCUAUCUUGAAUAUUGUGGAGGUAAGCGGAAUAUGUCAUGUAGCGGUGAAAUGCUUAGAUAUGACAUAGAACACCUAUUGCGAAGGCAGCUUACUACGCAUAUAUUGACGCUGAGGCACGAAAGCGUGGGGGAUCAAAACAGG